UUUCUAUAAAACCUAAGAUCGUCAAUUGCAAAGGUUUGUUUCUUUUCUUCUUUUCUUAUUUCUUGUUUACACUUCUACUUCACAAUUCAAUUCAAUGAUGUAUACAUGAACCAUAUGGUUGGCUGAAAAUGCCUCAUGAAUGGGUCAUUAUAUUAUUACUUCUGUUAAGAGUUUAACACUUUGUUUAUGUGGCUAAACCUAAUUACAAACUUGAAACCUUUAUCAUCAUCCAUGAGAUGAAGGAAAAAGUUGUGUAAUAUUGCAUGACCAUGAAAAGACAUGGAUGUAAGACACAACUAAUUACCAAAAGAAUGAAAGAGGAUUUUAUUUAUUUGUUUGCUUAUUCACAUAUUAACUAAUGUUUUUGUUUUUAUUCUUGCACAUCUUUAAAUUUGUUGUACUUUUUAAAAGAAACUAAAACAGAAAAAACGUGUGUUAGUUUUCGGUAGUCUUUUUUAUUUAAUGUGAGAGA
RNAcentral lists this long non-coding RNA (472 nucleotides) under Phaseolus vulgaris (common bean). RNAcentral's name for it is "long non-coding RNA (PVUL_LNC004251)". Lineage: Eukaryota; Viridiplantae; Streptophyta; Magnoliopsida; Fabales; Fabaceae. The record is from RNAcentral.